This 467-nucleotide ribosomal RNA is filed under the name uncultured bacterium. RNAcentral's name for it is "bacterial SSU rRNA". It matches the Rfam family "Bacterial small subunit ribosomal RNA", at positions 355 to 825 of the family's 1533-position model. The record is from RNAcentral.
UCGGGAAUUUUGGGCAAUGGGCGAAAGCCUGACCCAGCAACGCCGCGUGCAGGAUGACGGUCCUAUGGAUUGUAAACUGCUUUUGUACAGGAAGAAACAGUUCUACGUGUAGAACCUUGACGGUACUGUAAGAAUAAGGAUCGGCUAACUCCGUGCCAGCAGCCGCGGUAAUACGGAGGAUCCAAGCGUUAUCCGGAAUCAUUGGGUUUAAAGGGUCCGUAGGCGGUUAGAUAAGUCAGUGGUGAAAGCCCAUCGCUCAACGGUGGAACGGCCAUUGAUACUGUCUGACUUGAAUUAUUAGGAAGUAACUAGAAUAUGUAGUGUAGCGGUGAAAUGCUUAGAGAUUACAUGGAAUACCAAUUGCGAAGGCAGGUUACUACUAAUGGAUUGACGCUGAUGGACGAAAGCGUGGGUAGCGAACAGGAUUAGAUACCCCCGUAGUCCCUGAGCGGGCUGGCAAGGCGCAU